UCUCCGUUGGUGAACAGCGGAGGGAUCAUUACCGAGCUUACGACUCCCAAACCCCUGUGAACAUACCUAUCGUUGCCUCGGCGGUGCCCGCUCCGGCGGCCCGCCAGAGGACCCCCAAACUCUUGUUCUAUACAGUAUCUUCUGAGUAACACGAUUAAACGAAUCAAAACUUUCAACAACGGAUCUCUUGGUUCUG
Molecule: unclassified non-coding RNA, 196 nt
Filed under: plant metagenome
Description: partial contains small subunit ribosomal RNA, internal transcribed spacer 1, and 5.8S ribosomal RNA
Source: RNAcentral